GAGCGCUUUGAAGGAUGAAGUGGAGCUGGUUGGUCUUCCCUUGACCUCCUGUGUCUCAUUCCAGUGCAAGAUGAACUCCCUUCGAGCAGAAGGGCCAGGCCUUCUCCCCAUGGUCUGUCCCUUUCGAUAGUUGGGUACAAAU
RNAcentral lists this small nucleolar RNA (142 nucleotides) under Sphenodon punctatus (tuatara). Lineage: Eukaryota; Metazoa; Chordata; Lepidosauria; Sphenodontia; Sphenodontidae. The record is from RNAcentral.